RNAcentral lists this ribosomal RNA (1377 nucleotides) under Lactiplantibacillus pentosus. RNAcentral describes it as "bacterial SSU rRNA". It matches the Rfam family "Bacterial small subunit ribosomal RNA", at positions 67 to 1431 of the family's 1533-position model. Lineage: Bacteria; Bacillati; Bacillota; Bacilli; Lactobacillales; Lactobacillaceae. The record is from RNAcentral.
CUUGCAUCAUGAUUUACAUUUGAGUGAGUGGCGAACUGGUGAGUAACACGUGGGAAACCUGCCCAGAAGCGGGGGAUAACACCUGGAAACAGAUGCUAAUACCGCAUAACAACUUGGACCGCAUGGUCCGAGUUUGAAAGAUGGCUUCGGCUAUCACUUUUGGAUGGUCCCGCGGCGUAUUAGCUAGAUGGUGGGGUAACGGCUCACCAUGGCAAUGAUACGUAGCCGACCUGAGAGGGUAAUCGGCCACAUUGGGACUGAGACACGGCCCAAACUCCUACGGGAGGCAGCAGUAGGGAAUCUUCCACAAUGGACGAAAGUCUGAUGGAGCAACGCCGCGUGAGUGAAGAAGGGUUUCGGCUCGUAAAACUCUGUUGUUAAAGAAGAACAUAUCUGAGAGUAACUGUUCAGGUAUUGACGGUAUUUAACCAGAAAGCCACGGCUAACUACGUGCCAGCAGCCGCGGUAAUACGUAGGUGGCAAGCGUUGUCCGGAUUUAUUGGGCGUAAAGCGAGCGCAGGCGGUUUUUUAAGUCUGAUGUGAAAGCCUUCGGCUCAACCGAAGAAGUGCAUCGGAAACUGGGAAACUUGAGUGCAGAAGAGGACAGUGGAACUCCAUGUGUAGCGGUGAAAUGCGUAGAUAUAUGGAAGAACACCAGGUGGCGAAGGCGGCUGUCUGGUCUGUAACUGACGCUGAGGCUCGAAAGUAUGGGUAGCAAACAGGAUUAGAUACCCUGGUAGUCCAUACCGUAAACGAUGAAUGCUAAGUGUUGGAGGGUUUCCGCCCUUCAGUGCUGCAGCUAACGCAUUAAGCAUUCCGCCUGGGGAGUACGGCCGCAAGGCUGAAACUCAAAGGAAUUGACGGGGGCCCGCACAAGCGGUGGAGCAUGUGGUUUAAUUCGAAGCUACGCGAAGAACCUUACCAGGUCUUGACAUACUAUGCAAAUCUAAGAGAUUAGACGUUCCCUUCGGGGACAUGGAUACAGGUGGUGCAUGGUUGUCGUCAGCUCGUGUCGUGAGAUGUUGGGUUAAGUCCCGCAACGAGCGCAACCCUUAUUAUCAGUUGCCAGCAUUAAGUUGGGCACUCUGGUGAGACUGCCGGUGACAAACCGGAGGAAGGUGGGGAUGACGUCAAAUCAUCAUGCCCCUUAUGACCUGGGCUACACACGUGCUACAAUGGAUGGUACAACGAGUUGCGAACUCGCGAGAGUAAGCUAAUCUCUUAAAGCCAUUCUCAGUUCGGAUUGUAGGCUGCAACUCGCCUACAUGAAGUCGGAAUCGCUAGUAAUCGCGGAUCAGCAUGCCGCGGUGAAUACGUUCCCGGGCCUUGUACACACCGCCCGUCACACCAUGAGAGUUUGUAACACCCAAAGUCGGU